AUAUGGAGAAUGAUAAGAGAGAAUUAAUUCAAGAAGUUCACCGGUUAGCUAGAUUGGGUAUGAGGUUGGUUGACACAGUUGAAGGGAAUACUUGGGUUCAGAGUAGUUCAAAAUCUUCUCUAGUUUCUGAAGUGAAAGAGAAGAAGGAUAAGGAUUCCAGUUUGGCCAAACUGAAGGGUUAAAUUAAAGACCUAAAGGUAUAGGUUUUAUACCUAGGGGGAGAUGGUGUGUUGAUAUACCAGAAUAGAUUAUGUUGCCAUGUGUUGACGAUUUGA
Molecule: long non-coding RNA, 275 nt
Filed under: Capsicum annuum
Lineage: Eukaryota; Viridiplantae; Streptophyta; Magnoliopsida; Solanales; Solanaceae
Description: long non-coding RNA (CANN_LNC008677)
Source: RNAcentral